UUACAUUUCAACUUAAGGUAGUACUACUAUAAAAAACCCAUAUAUUAUGGCGGUUUCAAUUAAUUAGAGAAACUCGCUUUAUAAUCGACAAUACCCGCUAAAUUUGACUUAUAUAAACUCAUAGCCUGUAUACCGCCGUUACUAGAAUUUAUUAAAAAAACUAACCCCAAAUAUUAUAAAAUCAAUAAAAAAUCAGGUCAAGGUGCAACUAAUAACUAAGAAUAAGUAAGUUACAUUAAAAAUAAUUUAAGGAUAACGUAAAAAAUUACAUUUAAAAAAGAAUUUAUAUGUACAUAAGGAUCAAAAAUCCUUUUAGAAAACUCUAAUUGAAACGC
This 335-nucleotide ribosomal RNA is filed under the name Belisana khaoyai. RNAcentral's name for it is "partial 12S ribosomal RNA". Lineage: Eukaryota; Metazoa; Arthropoda; Arachnida; Araneae; Pholcidae. The record is from RNAcentral.